GUGAAGAUAGCUAAGAGAACAGUUGACAGGAAGAAACAGUCCUUGGAGGCUUUUAUCUCAUAUGGAAUUUCAAAUUUAUCAAACUACUUGUUCGGAUCUAAGUUUGUUUCCUAUUUCAUGUACAGGAUUCUUUGUCAUAGUAGCUUUACCAUCUCCAAUAUGGCUGGACCAAAAGAUCAGGUUACUUUAGCAGGCAAUCCUAUAACAUAUAUAAAGGCUAACAUCACUGGCGUGCCCCAAGCAGUGGCAAUGCACAUGGUGAGCUAUGCAGGGAAAGCUGACAUGCAACUUGUGGUGGCCAAAGACAUCAUCCCUGACCCUCAAUUUCUUGCUAAAUGCUUAGAAGAUUCCUUGCUUGAAAUGAA
This 365-nucleotide unclassified non-coding RNA is filed under the name Hevea brasiliensis (rubber tree). Lineage: Eukaryota; Viridiplantae; Streptophyta; Magnoliopsida; Malpighiales; Euphorbiaceae. The record is from RNAcentral.